RNAcentral lists this ribosomal RNA (246 nucleotides) under uncultured bacterium. RNAcentral describes it as "partial 16S ribosomal RNA". It matches the Rfam family "Bacterial small subunit ribosomal RNA", at positions 524 to 768 of the family's 1533-position model. The record is from RNAcentral.
GACAGAGGAUGCAAGCGUUAUCCGGAAUGAUUGGGCGUAAAGCGUCUGUAGGUGGCUUUUUAAGUCCGCCGUCAAAUCCCAGGGCUCAACCCUGGACAGGCGGUGGAAACUACCAAGCUGGAGUACGGUAGGGGCAGGAGGGAAUUUCCGGUGGAGCGGUGAAAUGCGUAGAGAUCCGGAAGAACACCGGUGGCGAAGGCGGUCUGCUGGGGUCGAACUGACGCUGAGGCGCGACAGCGUGGGGAG